AUCUUCAAGCCACCGCGCCACCGUCUCGUUCAUGUCCACGUAUCAAACUGGCGGGAAAAUUAAAACAUCGGCGAAAGUGCAGAAGAACUUGACUAAAAUAAAUAAAUCAAACAAAACUAACUCUUCAAAUUCAAUUCAAUUUCAAAUCCUUUAAAAUUGGCUCUAGCUUCUCUUGCAAUCUUUCUCCCUUUCAUUUCUCUAUAUAAACAAGCACAAUCCUUAGCAGCUCCUACAACCUGUUCGAUAGAAUUUCUCGAUCACCUUUCCAGUUAAAAUCAAACUUUUUUCUCUUCAAAUAUUAUACAAUCAUGUAUGUGAUAAAACGUGAUGGGCAUCAAGAAACCGUUCAUUUCGACAAAAUCACUGCUCGAUUGAAGAAACUGAGUUAUGGGUUAAAUAGUGAGUACUGUGACCCUGUUCUUGUGGCUCAAAAAGUUUGCUCGGGGUUCUAUAAAGGUGUCACCACUACUCAACUUGAUGAGUUAGCCGCUGAGACAGCGGCUGCUAUGACUACUAAUCACCCUGAUUAUGCUAUUUUGGCUGCGAGAGUUGCUGUUUCGAAUUUGCACAAAAAUACAAAGAAGUCAUUCUCAGAGACGAUCAAAUUAAUGUAUAGUCAUAUUAAUAAGAGGUCAGGGCAGAAGGCUUCUCUUAUUGCAGAUGAUGUUUAUGAAAUAAUCAUGAAGAAUGCUACUCGUCUGGAUAGUGAGAUCAUUUAUGACAGAGAUUUUGACUAUGAUUACUUUGGCUUCAAAACUCUUGAGAGGUCCUACCUUUUGAAGAUUGAUGGGAAGAUUGUAGAAAGACCACAACACAUGUUGAUGAGGGUUGCUAUUGGUAUCCACAAAGAUGACGUUGAAUCUGCUGUUAAAACAUAUCACUUGAUGGCUCAACGAUGGUUCACACAUGCUACCCCUACUCUUUUCAAUGCAGGAACACCCCAGCCCCAAUUGAGUAGCUGCUUUCUUGGGUGCAUGAAAGAUGAUAGCAUCGAGGGCAUAUUUGACACUUUGAAGGAGUGUGCUGUUAUUAGCAAGGUUGCUGGAGGAAUUGGUCUUUCUGUGCAUAACGUUCGUGCUACAGGCAGUUUUAUUUGCGGGACAAAUGGGGAAUCAAAUGGUAUUGUUCCCAUGCUUCGAGUGUUUAAUGACACUGCUCGCUACGUUGAUCAAGGGGGAGGAAAGAGGAAGGGUGCUUUUGCCAUAUAUUUGGAGCCCUGGCAUGCAGAUAUCUUUGAGUUUUUAGAUCUCAGGAAAAACCAUGGAAAGGAAGAACGUCGAGCUAGAGAUUUGUUCUAUGCUCUUUGGAUUCCUGAUCUCUUUAUGGAAAGAGUCCGAGGUGAUGGCAGCUGGUCUUUGUUUUGCCCUAAUGAAGCUCCUGGUUUGGCUGAUUGUUGGGGUGAAGAAUUUGAGAAAUUAUACACUUUUUAUGAAGACGGGGAUAGGGCAAAGAAAGUUAUACCUGCUAGGAAACUCUGGUUUGAGAUUUUAAAUUCGCAGAUUGAAACAGGAACCCCUUAUAUGCUUUUCAAGGAUUCUUGUAAUAGGAAGAGCAACCAGCAGAAUCUGGGCACUAUAAAGUCCUCAAACCUGUGUACUGAGGUUAUUGAGUUCACAAGUCCAACCGAAACUGCAGUUUGCAAUUUGGCAUCCAUUGCUCUACCACGAUUUGUCAGGGAAAGGGGGGUGCCCAUUGAGUCACACUCAUCUAAAUUGGUGGGAAGUAGAGAUUCAAAGACUCGAUAUUUUGAUUUUGCAAAACUAGCGGAGAUUACUGUGACAAUUACUGCAAAUUUAAACAAGAUCAUCGAUAUUAAUUACUACCCAGUUGAUACUGCAAGGAGAUCAAAUUUACGACACAGGCCAAUGGGUAUUGGAGUUCAAGGUCUCGCUGAUACUUUUAUUCUGCUUGGCAUGCCUUUUGACUCACUGGAGGCCCAGCAACUGAACAAAGACAUAUUUGAGACCAUUUACUACCAUGCACUGAAAUCGUCUUCUGAGCUGGCUGCUAUAGAUGGCCCUUAUGAAACAUAUAAAGGGAGCCCCGUGAGCAAGGGGAUUCUUCAGAUGGAUAUGUGGGGUGUGAUCCCAUCUGACAGAUGGGAUUGGAAUGUCCUUAGGGAAAUGAUCUCGAAGAACGGGGUAAGAAAUUCCCUUCUUGUAGCUCCUAUGCCCACUGCUUCAACAAGUCAGAUACUUGGUAACAAUGAGUGCUUUGAGCCUUAUACAUCAAAUAUUUAUAGCCGCCGAGUUUUAAGUGGUGAAUUUGUUGUGGUGAACAAACACCUCCUUCAUGAUUUGACAGAGAUUGGUCUUUGGUCCCAUGCUCUUAAAAACAAGAUAAUUUAUGAGAAUGGCUCUGUUGCCAAAGUUCCUGAGAUUCCUGAGCAGCUGAAAGCUAUCUACAAAAAAUGUCAGGACUGUGUGGGAAAUCAAGCAAAAGACAUUGGUUGAUAUGGCUGUUGCUCGGGGAUGCUACAUAGACCAGAGUCAGAGUCUAAAUAUUCACAUGGAUCAACCUGAUCUAGGGAAACUAACUUCAUUGCAUUUCUAUGCUUGGUCCAAGGGCCUGAAAACAGGGAUGUACUAUCUGAGAACACGUGCUGCAGCUGAUGCAAUCAAGUUCACUGUUGAUACAUCUGUUCUCAAACAUGAAAAUGUUAAUAGCACGAAUGACUACGUUGAUACUGAUAUGGCACAAAUGGUUUGCUCUUUGAGGAAUAGAGAAGAGUGCAUGGCUUGUGGCAGCUAAAGUCCAAAUGCGAGGCGACUGAAGUUUGAUUCAUGGACUCUUCAGAAUCAGGCAACUUUACCCGGAAGUAAAUCUAACUCCUCACUACCUGGAAGCUUUAGGUAAGAUUGUGACUUGGGACAAUACCUUAAUGCUUUCUUCACUCGGCAAGCUAAUUCAUAUGUUAUGGGUUCUUUUUCUCUUGAUUUAUGAUUAUCAUUGACUGGUGAAAAUUCUGAUGCUACUAUGCCACUUGCUUUAAGCUAUGCAUUUUUCAUAAGCUAAAGCAAUACAUUGUUCUGAAAUUGUCAAGGGUCAGAAAGGAAUAUCUUUCUGGGCCAAAUUAGAUAAGGUAGCAAUCUUUUUGACCUGAAAAGAAAAACACAUGUAUGAUCCAUAACUUUCCAAGUCAUAUUCUUUACUUCAAAGGGUUUA
This is an RNA transcript of Ricinus communis (castor bean), 3165 nucleotides long. It is a transcript of the gene named ribonucleoside-diphosphate reductase large subunit, with no coding region annotated. The record is from RefSeq and is a predicted model, not a curated record. NCBI's taxonomy places the organism in Eukaryota, Viridiplantae, Streptophyta, Magnoliopsida, Malpighiales, Euphorbiaceae. The transcript has 18 exons.